RNAcentral lists this ribosomal RNA (465 nucleotides) under uncultured Klebsiella sp. RNAcentral's name for it is "bacterial SSU rRNA". It matches the Rfam family "Bacterial small subunit ribosomal RNA", at positions 338 to 795 of the family's 1533-position model. Lineage: Bacteria; Pseudomonadati; Pseudomonadota; Gammaproteobacteria; Enterobacterales; Enterobacteriaceae. The record is from RNAcentral.
CCUACGGGUGGCAGCAGUGGGGAAUAUUGCACAAUGGGCGCAAGCCUGAUGCAGCCAUGCCGCGUGUGUGAAGAAGGCCUUCGGGUUGUAAAGCACUUUCAGCGGGGAGGAAGGCGUUAAGGUUAAUAACCUUGGCGAUUGACGUUACCCGCAGAAGAAGCACCGGCUAACUCCGUGCCAGCAGCCGCGGUAAUACGGAGGGUGCAAGCGUUAAUCGGAAUUACUGGGCGUAAAGCGCACGCAGGCGGUCUGUCAAGUCGGAUGUGAAAUCCCCGGGCUCAACCUGGGAACUGCAUUCGAAACUGGCAGGCUAGAGUAUUGUAGAGGGGGAUAGAAUUCCAGGUGUAGCGGUGAAAUGCGUAGAGAUCUGGAGGAAUACCGGUGGCGAAGGCGGCCCCCUGGACAAAGACUGACGCUCAGGUGCGAAAGCGUGGGGAGCAAACAGGGUUAGAUACCCCGGUAGUC